Long non-coding RNA from Symphalangus syndactylus (siamang), 1749 nucleotides. RefSeq lists it as uncharacterized. Lineage: Eukaryota; Metazoa; Chordata; Mammalia; Primates; Hylobatidae. The record is from RefSeq and is a predicted model, not a curated record.
GAUUCGUACUGACUGAAUAUCAGAGGCUACUCCCUUUUCAACCCUUCCUUUUUCUGUGUGGCAGUUGCUGCGUGGCCGUUGCAACCCCUCCUUUUUCUGUGUGGCAGUUGCAACCCCUCCUUUUUCUGCGUGGCAGUUGCAACGCCUCCUUUUUCUCUGUGGCAGUUGCUGCAUGGCAGUCGCAGUCCCUCUUUCUUCUGCGUGGCAGUCGCUGCGUGGCAGCUGCAACCCCUCCUUCUUCUGUGUGGCAGUUGCUGCGUGGCAGUUGCAACCCCUUGUUUUUCUGCGUGGCAGUUUCUGCGUGGUAGUUGCAACCCCUCCUUUUUCUGCGUGGCAGUUGUAAAGGAAAGUACCUCCAACCGGUUCCCUCCUGCAACCAGUCAGACUGAUGGGCGGCCACUACUUCAUUUGCGCAGAAUGAACCAGUGGGAAACCUAUAGAGGGUAUUUAAACCCCAGAAAAUUCUGUAAUCAAUGCUCUUGAGCUGCUUGCUCAAGCCCUUUCCUUCCCCAUGGAGUGUACUUUGUUUAAAUCCCUGCCUUCACUGCCUUGCUUUGUUUGUGUGUUUUGUUCAAUUCUGUUAAAAACGCCAAGAACCUGGACAACUACCCUAAACAGGCAAUAAAAGCACAAACACAUUGUACACAAAAAUAUUUUCCUUCUGUAUAUCUUUAUUCUAGAAGCUUUUUUCUAUUUUUUAUUUAUUUAUUUAUUUUCGCUGUUAAAACUUUUUUUUGUUAAAAAGUAAGACCAAAACACACACGUUAGCCUGGGCCUACACAGGGUCAUUAGGACAUCACUAAGCAACAGGAAUUUUUUCAGAUCCAUUAUAAUCUUAUGGGACCACAGUAUAUAUGCGGUCUGUUGUUGACCAAAAUAUUGUAGUGUGACACAUUAAUGGGGUGAGGAUAUUAUUCUCUAUUAUUAUCUUAUAUAAUUUUUAAAUGCCAUCAGAUAAAACACAGAAGGGAGCACAGAGCUGCCUGGUCCUGCAGCUAUCCUGCAGUGAGGUGGUGCUGCCAACCACUGGAAGCUGAAGUCCAGAGGCUCUAUUCAGUCAAGGGGUGAUGAACUCUCUUUGGGUCUGGAGACAGGCUGGAACUGGGGUGAGAUAUGGUGACCCUGCCGUUUGUGACAACGUGGAUGUAUCUGGAGGACAUUAAGACAAGUGAAAUAAACAAGACACGGAAAGAAAAAUAUAGCACGGUCUCUCUUAUAUGUGGAAUUUAAAAAAUUAACUCUGAAUACUUUAAACUGCCCUGAAAAAUCGAAUCUGUCCAUGGGAGUGCUAGCAUACUGUAUCAGAUUAAAUGAAGCCGUAAGCAUCUUUGACGUACAAAUUACACUUGGAAAGCAAAUGAAACUGGGAAUACUUGCAAGUAAAAUAUGGGAAGUCAAAGAGAUUAAAGGAUGAGAACCAAAAAUUGGUUAUGGCCAGUGUCCUAAGUAAGCCUCAGAAUCGCAUCCUAGAAGCAUCAAGUUCUCGCGUUACCAUAUGGAUCUUAAAAAAAGACUUCCUUAGUUUGAUGUAGUCUGCAGACAUCUCAUCAUCACAAAAACUUGAUAGCACUUACAGCACUAAGAAACUACCUUUGCAGAUUGUAAAAAAAGAUAGAAUCCUAUGUGUGUCUUGAUCACACCUGCGUAUUUCCCCAAGGUUUUACUGCAGGGUUACAGAAUGAAUAAGCAUCUAGUUAUAUUUAAUAAACUGCAUGCCUUAUGGCUGAUUCUAAAGGCACAUGGCUUUGU